AUUUUUUCUUCAAGGAUAUCUAAAGAAAUUGGAACCAUACAGAGAACAUUAACUUAGUCGCAGUGCAAGAAUGGCAGAGACAAGUUAAGAAGUAUACAUAUAAUCU
This is a small nuclear RNA of Phoenix dactylifera (date palm), 106 nucleotides long. The record is from RefSeq and is a predicted model, not a curated record. Lineage: Eukaryota; Viridiplantae; Streptophyta; Magnoliopsida; Arecales; Arecaceae.